This 410-nucleotide long non-coding RNA is filed under the name Capsicum annuum. RNAcentral's name for it is "long non-coding RNA (CANN_LNC012371)". The record is from RNAcentral. Lineage: Eukaryota; Viridiplantae; Streptophyta; Magnoliopsida; Solanales; Solanaceae.
CCAGAUGUACAGUUAGAAUAAAGAUAAGGGACAAUCAAAGCAAAUAACGGAUGAAGUAAUGACAAAGAAGAAACCAAGUAGAUAAAGACACAAGGAGAUAGAAAUGGACAAGUCAAUAAGAAGAUAAAAAAGACUCAGAAAAAGAACAAGUGCAUUAUUAAAGUUACGUAAAUUAUUCAAGCUUUUAGUCUUUUCUAUUUAAUGUAAAGUUGCUUUAAGUUUUUUCUUUCAUAAAGCUACUUUGACUUUUGUAAAGAUAUUUUCUACUUUUUGUAAAGAUUAGUACAAGUGUAAAGUAUGAAUAGUAUAGGAAUAGUAUAAAGUAGGAAUAGUGUAAAAUAAUUUACGUGUUUUGUAGAUUAUAAAAAGGCAAGGUAUUUGCAAAGAUAAGACAAGACUUUCAACACAGA